RNAcentral lists this ribosomal RNA (403 nucleotides) under uncultured bacterium. RNAcentral describes it as "bacterial SSU rRNA". It matches the Rfam family "Bacterial small subunit ribosomal RNA", at positions 355 to 774 of the family's 1533-position model. The record is from RNAcentral.
UGGGGGAUAUUGCACAAUGGAGGGAACUCUGAUGCAGCGACGCCGCGUGAGGGAAGACGGUCUUCGGAUUGUAAACCUCUGUCUUUAGGGACGAAAAAAUGACGGUACCUAAGGAGGAAGCCACGGCUAACUACGUGCCAGCAGCCGCGGUAAUACGUAGGUGGCAAGCGUUGUCCGGAAUUACUGGGUGUAAAGGGAGCGUAGGCGGGGAGACAAGUUGAAUGUUUAAACUAUCGGCUCAACUGAUAGUCGCGUUCAAAACUAUCACUCUUGAGUGCAGUAGAGGUAGGCGGAAUUCCUAGUGUAGCGGUGAAAUGCGUAGAUAUUAGGAGGAACACCAGUGGCGAAGGCGGCCUACUGGGCUGUAACUGACGCUGAGGCUCGAAAGCGUGGGUAGCAAACA